This 253-nucleotide ribosomal RNA is filed under the name uncultured bacterium. Its description in RNAcentral is "partial 16S ribosomal RNA". It matches the Rfam family "Bacterial small subunit ribosomal RNA", at positions 524 to 776 of the family's 1533-position model. The record is from RNAcentral.
UACAGAGGUCUCAAGCGUUGUUCGGAUUCAUUGGGCGUAAAGGGUGCGUAGGCGGCGGGGCAAGUCGGAUGUGAAAUCUCAGGGCUCAACCCUGAAACUGCAUUCGAUACUGCCGUGCUUGAGGACUGGAGAGGAGACUGGAAUUUACGGUGUAGCGGUGAAAUGCGUAGAUAUCGUAAGGAAGACCAGUGGCGAAGGCGGGUCUCUGGACGGCAACUGACGCUGAGGCACGAAAGCGUGGGGAGCAAACAGG